UACGAAGGGGGCUAGCGUUUCUCGGAAUCACUGGGCGUAAAGCGCACGUAGGCGGCUUCUUAAGUCAGGGGUGAAAUCCUGGGGCUCAACCCCAGAACUGCCCUUGAUACUGAGGAGCUUGAGUCCGGGAGAGGUGAGUGGAACUCCGAGUGUAGAGGUGAAAUUCGUAGAUAGUCGGAAGAACACCAGUGGCGAAGGCGGCUCACUGGCCCGGUACUGACGCUGAGGUGCGAAAGCGUGGGGAGUAAACAGG
Molecule: ribosomal RNA, 253 nt
Filed under: uncultured bacterium
Lineage: Bacteria
Description: partial 16S ribosomal RNA
Rfam family: Bacterial small subunit ribosomal RNA
Source: RNAcentral